AACGGCUGCUCUUUCUAGCUAAGUAGGUCGACCCCAUUUAAGCCUCAGUCCCGGUUAGCGUCUCUCUGACUGAGAGGAAACUUCUUUCAGUCUCGAGUAGGUCUGACCUGCCUCUUUGUUGGCUACGCAGUCUCAGAAGCCUGCCCAUUUACUUUGCAAACCGGACAGUGAAGCAUAUCUCAGACUGGGAGCAUCAGUUUCCAUACCAUCUUCUUGGAGUAUGCAGCUCAAUCAAUAGCCUUUGCAAGAUCACCCUUCAUUCCUGCUGCUCAGACCUAUAGAGGAACAAUGCUGCACAGCCAGUUGUUCCUUUGAACCUUGGACAACUUUGAACUUCAGUCUCAAAUGGAGAAGUACAAUAUUCAAGAUUGACUUUGAGAUUUUUAUUUGAUUGACUGAAAUCCAAAUGUCACUUCUCUUGUUGGAGGACAAUUUGCAGCAGUUUCCAACUGAAAAAAUACUCUUUGCCAGUUAUGGAUGUUUCACUUAGGGGACAGUUCCAUAGGGUUUUUUUAUGCCACAGUUAUGGAAGUGGAUCCC
This 540-nucleotide long non-coding RNA is filed under the name Heterocephalus glaber (naked mole-rat). RNAcentral's name for it is "lncRNA (ENSHGLG00000044942.1)". The record is from RNAcentral. Lineage: Eukaryota; Metazoa; Chordata; Mammalia; Rodentia; Bathyergidae.